Molecule: non-coding RNA, 45 nt
Filed under: Schistosoma mattheei
Lineage: Eukaryota; Metazoa; Platyhelminthes; Trematoda; Strigeidida; Schistosomatidae
Source: RNAcentral
AUCCAGCUGAUGAGCCUUAAAUAGGCCGAAACACGCGUCCUGGAU